This 82-nucleotide transfer RNA is filed under the name Muribaculaceae bacterium. RNAcentral describes it as "tRNA-Leu". It matches the Rfam family "tRNA". From Rfam's summary of the family: Transfer RNA (tRNA) molecules are approximately 80 nucleotides in length. Their secondary structure includes four short double-helical elements and three loops (D, anti-codon, and T loops). Further hydrogen bonds mediate the characteristic L-shaped molecular structure. tRNAs have two regions of fundamental functional importance: the anti-codon, which is responsible for specific mRNA codon recognition, and the 3' end, to which the tRNAs corresponding amino acid is attached (by aminoacyl-tRNA synthetases). tRNAs cope with the degeneracy of the genetic code in two manners: having more than one tRNA (with a specific anti-codon) for a particular amino acid; and 'wobble' base-pairing, i.e. permitting non-standard base-pairing at the 3rd anti-codon position. Lineage: Bacteria; Pseudomonadati; Bacteroidota; Bacteroidia; Bacteroidales; Muribaculaceae. The record is from RNAcentral.
GCGCAUGUGGCGUAAUGGUAGCCGCGUUAGACUUAGGAUCUAAUGAUCUCAGAUCGUGGGGGUUCGAGUCCCUUCAUGCGCA